UGCUCAGCCUUACUGGAAAAAGACAUUUCCUGAUAAACUUCUUUUGUUUCGAAAAGCUUCAAGUUGCCAGCUGUCAGUUUCUGUGAUCUGGGUCCAUGUCAGAGCUUUGGUGCAGUGCACACGUCCAGAACAAAAAAUACUGGGGACCCAGAAUCAAAUCUGACUUGCGUCGCAUCCUGAUGGAUCCCUUGUCCCCUUUCUCUUUCCACUUUUCUAUUAAA
Sinocyclocheilus grahami is the source of this 221-nucleotide long non-coding RNA. RefSeq lists it as uncharacterized. The transcript has 3 exons. The record is from RefSeq and is a predicted model, not a curated record. NCBI's taxonomy places the organism in Eukaryota, Metazoa, Chordata, Actinopteri, Cypriniformes, Cyprinidae.